AUACGUAGGGGGCUAGCGUUAUCCGGAAUUACUGGGCGUAAAGGGUGCGUAGGUGGUUUCUUAAGUCAGAAGUGAAAGGCUACGGCUCAACCGUAGUAAGCUUUUGAAACUAAGAGACUUGAGUGCAGGAGAGGAGAGUAGAAUUCCUAGUGUAGCGGUGAAAUGCGUAGAUAUUAGGAGGAAUACCAGUUGCGAAGGCGGCUCUCUGGACUGUAACUGACACUGAGGCACGAAAGCGUGGGGAGCAAACAGGAUUAGAUCCCCUGGUAGUCCACGCCGUAAACGAUGAGUACUAGCUGUCGGGGGUUACCCCCCUCGGUGGCGCAGCUAACGCAUUAAGUACUCCGCCUGGGAAGUACGCUCGCAAGAGUGAAACUCAAAGGAAUUGACGGGG
This 394-nucleotide ribosomal RNA is filed under the name uncultured bacterium. Its description in RNAcentral is "partial 16S ribosomal RNA". It matches the Rfam family "Bacterial small subunit ribosomal RNA", at positions 523 to 918 of the family's 1533-position model. The record is from RNAcentral.